CUGCAACGUAUGGAGCGUUCCGGUUUAAUUGGAUUCAACCCCCGGAAACUUCCCNGGGGCGACGGUUACAUGAAGGCCCAAGCUGAUGACUUUGCCUGAUUUUCCGAGAGGNUGGUGCAUGGCCCGCCGUUCAGUUCGUACCGUAAGGCGUUCUGUUAAGUCAGAUAACGAACGAGACCUCCGUCACCAUUUGCUAUUCUUCUCUCCGGAGAGGGAGCACUAUGGUGGUACCGCCAUUGUUAAAAUGGAGGAAGGAGGGGGCAACGGUAGGUCAGUAUGCCCCGAAUCUCCCGGGCUACACGCGCGCUACAAAGGGCAGGACAAUGGGCUUCGACACCGAAAGGUGAAGGCAAUCCCGAAACCUGCUCGUAAUUCGGAUUGAGGGCUGCAAUUCGCCCUCAUGAAGCUGGAAUACGUAGUAAUCGCGGGUCAACAUCCCGCGGUGAAUAUGCCCCUGCUCCUUGCACACACCGCCCGUCAAACCACCUUAGUUGGGUCUGGACGAGGG
Molecule: ribosomal RNA, 508 nt
Filed under: uncultured archaeon
Lineage: Archaea
Description: bacterial SSU rRNA
Rfam family: Archaeal small subunit ribosomal RNA
Source: RNAcentral